CCUACGGGGGGCAGCAGUGAGGAAUAUUGGUCAAUGGACGGAAGUCUGAACCAGCCAUGCCGCGUGCAGGAAGACGGCUCUAUGAGUUGUAAACUGCUUUUGUACAAGGGUAAACCUGAAUACGUGUAUUCAGCUGAAAGUACUGUACGAAUAAGGAUCGGCUAGCUCCGUGCCAGCAGCCGCGGUAAUACGUAGGGAGCGAGCGUUAUCCGGAAUUAUUGGGUGUAAAGGGUGCGUGGACGGGAAAACAAGUUAGUUGUGAAAUCCCUCGGCUUAACUGAGAAACUGCAACUAAAACUAUUUUU
This 305-nucleotide ribosomal RNA is filed under the name uncultured bacterium. Its description in RNAcentral is "bacterial SSU rRNA". It matches the Rfam family "Bacterial small subunit ribosomal RNA", at positions 338 to 640 of the family's 1533-position model. The record is from RNAcentral.